This 85-nucleotide transfer RNA is filed under the name Candidatus Tagabacteria bacterium CG_4_9_14_0_2_um_filter_41_11. Its description in RNAcentral is "tRNA-Ser". It matches the Rfam family "tRNA". From Rfam's summary of the family: Transfer RNA (tRNA) molecules are approximately 80 nucleotides in length. Their secondary structure includes four short double-helical elements and three loops (D, anti-codon, and T loops). The record is from RNAcentral. Lineage: Bacteria; Candidatus Tagaibacteriota. RNAcentral also lists the same sequence under 1 other name.
GGAGAGGUGGCCGAGUGGUUUAAGGCGCAGGUCUCGAAAACCUGUUGGGGGCAACCCCUCGUGAGUUCAAAUCUCACCCUCUCCG